CCUGACACAGCCUUGGGUCCUGUCCCUGCUCAGCAGAGAGAAGAGCUCAACACUCAAUUACCACUCAGCUCCUUCCUCCCACAGCAAGCACUGAGGGACAUUUAAAAACACAAAACAACAACAAAAACAAUCCAAUCCAUUUCCAGGUAUCUCUGAACCCCAGCAGCUCCUCUGCCUCCUGGGGGUACAAACACCUCACCCUUCCUGCCCCAUCAGGUGUUUCUGGACUUGGCCACACGUUUCCAUCCCAGGGCUCCCAACUGCAAGCCCAGACUCCCAGCAGCAGCUCCUGGACUGAGAAUGAAGGAGCAGCAAACCCUUUAAAAGGGAUUUGGCCGUCCCUGUUUGUUUAUUUUGGGCUUUCUCCAUCUCCCCACAGGUUUGUGCCGUGAGCAGCAAAGCCCAGCAGAGCGAGGCUGAGGAACCAGAGGGAUCUUACAUAACCCUCCAGCAGGGCUGGCUGGGCAGCAGGGAUCCCACAGGAUCCCCUGCAAUUCCCAGCAGAGCUCCCCCAGCAGCUCGGGGAGCAGCAGCACUCUGCAGAAUAAGCCUGGCAUGGGACGGUCCCGCGGUCCCAGGUGGGCACGGUGGGCAGCAAACCCCGCUGGGCACUGCCAGGAGCGAGGCUGGCACAUACCAGUCACAACAAUCCCACCCAGGAGAGGCUCAGGGCACUCCCAGAUUAACCCCGGGGCAAACUGGGCCAGGAGCUGCUCAGGUAACUGGUUUAACAUUGAGCAGGGACACGGGCAGCACUGGUGCCCCCUCCACAGGAACUGGAGCAAGGAUGGCACAAAAAUCACGGCGUUUAAAGCACUUCAGUGUGGGCUGGGCCGGCAGUGAUGCCCUCACUUUAACCGCCCUCCCUGACCUGUGUUUGUGCCCAAACCCCCGGGAUUUUGGGGAGAAAAGGGGCGGUUUUAUAACAGGAACUCCACUCCAGAGAAUCGGGCUGUCAAACGUGGCAGCAGUUUCCAUUCUGUGCCACUGUCCCCUGCUGAUGGAGGGACAGGAUGGCAGCCUCGGGGCAUUCUGCUGCCGGGCUGUCCUGAGCUCGAC
RNAcentral lists this long non-coding RNA (1059 nucleotides) under Junco hyemalis (dark-eyed junco). RNAcentral's name for it is "lncRNA (ENSJHYG00000007334.1)". Lineage: Eukaryota; Metazoa; Chordata; Aves; Passeriformes; Passerellidae. The record is from RNAcentral.